This 253-nucleotide ribosomal RNA is filed under the name uncultured bacterium. RNAcentral's name for it is "partial 16S ribosomal RNA". It matches the Rfam family "Bacterial small subunit ribosomal RNA", at positions 524 to 776 of the family's 1533-position model. The record is from RNAcentral.
AACGUAGGAGACAAACGUUAUCCGGAGUUACUGGGCGUAAAGGGCGUGUAGGCGGUUAGUUAAGUCUGGCGUGAAAGCUCUCGGCUAAACCGGGAGAGGUCGUUGGAUACUGGCCAACUAGAGGAUGGUAGAGGCGUGUGGAAUUCCGGGUGUAGUGGUGAAAUGCGUAGAGAUCCGGAGGAACACCAGUGGCGAAGGCGACACGCUGGGCCAUACCUGACGCUAAAGCGCGACAGCAUGGGGAGCAAACGGG